This 400-nucleotide ribosomal RNA is filed under the name uncultured bacterium. Its description in RNAcentral is "bacterial SSU rRNA". It matches the Rfam family "Bacterial small subunit ribosomal RNA", at positions 134 to 518 of the family's 1533-position model. The record is from RNAcentral.
AGGACGUGGGACUACCCGGACGAAAGUCCGGCUAAUACCGGAUAACAACGGAGAUCGCAUGAUUUCCGCUUGAAAGGUGCGUUUGCACCACCUUUAGAUGGACCUGCGGCACAUUAGCUAGUUGGUGAGAUAACAGCCCACCAAGGCGAGGAUGUGUAGCCGACCUGGGAGGGUGACCGGCCACAAUGGGACUGAGACACGGCCCAUACUCCUACGGGAGGCAGCAGUAGGGAGUUUUCGGCAAUGGGCGAAAGCCUGACCGAGCAACGCCGCGUGAGUGAUGAAGGUUACUUCGGAUUGUAAAGCUCUGUCAGGAGGGACGAAAUCUGCGAUCAGGAAAUGGGUUGCAGUUGACGGUACCUCGUUAGGAAGUGACGGCUAACUACGUGCCAGCAGCCGC